GACGAACGCUGGCGGCGUGCUUAACACAUGCAAGUCGAACGGAAAGGCCCAGCUUGCUGGGUGCUCGAGUGGCGAACGGGUGAGUAACACGUGGGUGAUCUGCCUCUAACUUCGGGAUAAGCUUGGGAAACUGGGUCUAAUACCGGAUAGGACAAUCGUUUAGUGUCGGUUGUGGAAAGUUUUUUCGGUUAGGGAUGAGCCCGCGGCCUAUCAGCUUGUUGGUGGGGUAAUGGCCUACCAAGGCGUCGACGGGUAGCCGGCCUGAGAGGGUGGACGGCCACAUUGGGACUGAGAUACGGCCAAGACUCCUACGGGAGGCAGAGGUGGGGAAUAUUGCACAAUGGGCGCAAGCCUGAUGCAGCGACGCCGCGUGGGGGAUGACGGCCUUCGGGGUGUAAACCUCUUUCGACAGGGACGAAGCUUUGGUGACGGUACCUGUAUAAGAAGCACCGGCUAACUACG
Molecule: ribosomal RNA, 462 nt
Filed under: uncultured bacterium
Lineage: Bacteria
Description: partial 16S ribosomal RNA
Rfam family: Bacterial small subunit ribosomal RNA
Source: RNAcentral